UCAGGAACGCGAAGAACCUUACCUACCCUUGACAUACAGCGAACUUGGCAGAGAUGCCUUGGUGCCUUCGGGAACGCUGAUACAGGUGGUGCAUGGUUGUCGUCAGCUCGUGUCGUGAGAUGUUGGGUUAAGUCCCGCAACGAGCGCAACCCUUGCCUUUAGUUGCCAGCAUUAAGUUGGGCACUCUAGAGGGACUGCCGAGGAUAACUCGGAGGAAGGUGGGGAUGACGUCAAAUCAUCAUGCCCCUUAUGCUUAGGGCUACACACGUGCUACAAUGGGUGGUACAGAGGGUUGCCAAGCCGCGAGGUGGAGCUAAUCCCUUAAAGCCAUUCUCAGUUCGGAUUGUAGGCUGAAACUCGCCUACAUGAAGCUGGAGUUACUAGUAAUCGCAGAUCAGAAUGCUGCGGUGAAUGCGUUCCCGGGCCUUGUACACACCGCC
RNAcentral lists this ribosomal RNA (440 nucleotides) under bacterium AW6. RNAcentral describes it as "bacterial SSU rRNA". It matches the Rfam family "Bacterial small subunit ribosomal RNA", at positions 953 to 1394 of the family's 1533-position model. Lineage: Bacteria; Bacillati; Bacillota; Clostridia; Eubacteriales. The record is from RNAcentral.